Molecule: ribosomal RNA, 1021 nt
Filed under: Metarhizium reniforme
Lineage: Eukaryota; Fungi; Ascomycota; Sordariomycetes; Hypocreales; Clavicipitaceae
Description: SSU rRNA
Rfam family: Eukaryotic small subunit ribosomal RNA
Source: RNAcentral
UUAUACGGCGAAACUGCGAAUGGCUCAUUAUAUAAGUUAUCGUUUAUUUGAUAGUACCUUACUACUUGGAUAACCGUGGUAAUUCUAGAGCUAAUACAUGCUGAAAAUCCCGACUUCGGAAGGGAUGUAUUUAUUAGAUUAAAAACCAAUGCCCUCUGGGCUCUCUGGUGAUUCAUGAUAACUGCUCGAAUCGCAUGGCCUUGUGCCGGCGAUGGUUCAUUCAAAUUUCUUCCCUAUCAACUUUCGAUGUUUCGGUAGUGUCCAAACAUGGUUACAACGGGUAACGGAGGGUUAGGGCUCGACCCCGGAGAAGGAGCCUGAGAAACGGCUACUACAUCCAAGGAAGGCAGCAGGCGCGCAAAUUACCCAAUCCCGAUUCGGGGAGGUAGUGACAAUAAAUACCGAUACAGGGCUCUUUUGGGUCUUGUAAUUGGAAUGAGUACAAUUUAAAUCCCUUAACGAGGAACAAUUGGAGGGCAAGUCUGGUGCCAGCAGCCGCGGUAAUUCCAGCUCCAAUAGCGUAUAUUAAAGUUGUUGUGGUUAAAAAGCUCGUAGUUGAACCUUGGGCCUGGCUGGCCGGUCCGCCUCACAGCGUGUACUGGUCCGGCCGGGUCUUUCCCUCUGUGGAACCCCAUGCCCUUCGCUGGGUGUGGCGGGGAAACAGGACGUUUACUUUGAAAAAAUUAGAGUGCUCCAGGCAGGCCUAUGCUCGAAUACAUUAGCAUGGAAUAAUGAAAUAGGACGUGCGGUUCUAUUUUGUUGGUUUCUAGGACCGCCGUAAUGAUUAAUAGGGACAGUCGGGGGCAUCAGUAUUCAAUUGUCAGAGGUGAAAUUCUUGGAUUUAUUGAAGACUAACUACUGCGAAAGCAUUUGCCAAGGAUGUUUUCAUUAAUCAGGAACGAAAGUUAGGGGAUCGAAGACGAUCAGAUACCGUCGUAGUCUUAACCAUAAACUAUGCCGACUAGGGAUCGGACGAUGUUAUUUAUUGACUCGUUCGGCACCUUACGAGAAAUCAAAGUGC